ACCUAGGAAUAGCUCAGUUGGUAGAGCAAGAGGUUCUUAAUCUCAGGGUUAUGGGUUUGAGCUCCACGUUGGGCA
Molecule: non-coding RNA, 75 nt
Organism: Podarcis lilfordi (Lilford's wall lizard)
Lineage: Eukaryota; Metazoa; Chordata; Lepidosauria; Squamata; Lacertidae
Source: the annotation of a GenBank genome assembly